Molecule: ribosomal RNA, 484 nt
Filed under: uncultured bacterium
Lineage: Bacteria
Description: partial 16S ribosomal RNA
Rfam family: Bacterial small subunit ribosomal RNA
Source: RNAcentral
CUUGCACGCUGGCGGCAGGCCUAACACAUGCAAGUCGAGCGGAUGAAGGGAGCUUGCUCCUGGAUUCAGCGGCGGACGGGUGAGUAAUGCCUAGGAAUCUGCCUGGUAGUGGGGGAUAACGUCCGGAAACGGGCGCUAAUACCGCAUACAUCCUGAGGGAGAAAGUGGGGGAUCUUCGGACCUCACGCUAUCAGAUGAGCCUAGGUCGGAUUAGCUAGUUGGUGGGGUAAAGGCCUACCAAGGCGACGAUCCGUAACUGGUCUGAGAGGAUGAUCAGUCACAAUGGAACUGAGACAAGGUCCAGACUCCUACGGGAGGCAGCAGUGGGGAAUAUUGGACGAUGGGCGAAAGCCUGAUCUAGCCAUGUCGCGUGUGUGGAGAAGGUCUUCUGAUUGUAAAGCACUUUAAGUUGGGAGGAAGGGCAGUAAGUUAAUACCUUGCUGUUUUGACGUUACCAACAGAAUAAGCACCGGCUAACUUCGUG